RNAcentral lists this unclassified non-coding RNA (352 nucleotides) under soil metagenome. RNAcentral's name for it is "partial contains 5.8S ribosomal RNA, internal transcribed spacer 2, and large subunit ribosomal RNA". The stretch from base 1 to 120 matches the Rfam family "5.8S ribosomal RNA", at positions 35 to 154 of the family's 154-position model. The record is from RNAcentral.
GAUGAAGAACGUAGCGAAAUGCGAUAAGUAAUGUGAAUUGCAGAAUUCAGUGAAUCAUCGAAUCUUUGAACGCACAUUGCGCCCGCCAGUAUUCUGGCGGGCAUGCCUGUUCGAGCGUCAUUACAACCCUCAGGCCCCCGGGCCUGGCGUUGGGGAUCGGCGGAAGCCCCCUGCGGGCACACGCCGUCCCCCAAAUACAGUGGCGGUCCCGCCGCAGCUUCCAUUGCGUAGUAGCUAACACCUCGCAACUGGAGAGCGGCGCGGCCACGCCGUAAAACACCCAACUUCUGAAUGUUGACCUCGAAUCAGGUAGGAAUACCCGCUGAACUUAAGCAUAUCAAUAAGCGGAGGA